Molecule: ribosomal RNA, 374 nt
Filed under: uncultured organism
Description: partial 16S ribosomal RNA
Rfam family: Bacterial small subunit ribosomal RNA
Source: RNAcentral
GUAGGUGGCAAGCGUUGUCCGGGAAUUAUUGGGCGUAAAGCGCGCGCAGGCGGUUCUUUAAGUCUGAUGUGAAAGCCCACGGGCUCAACCGUGGAGGGUCAUUGGAAACUGGAGAACUUGAGUACAGAAGAGGAAAGCGGAAUUCCACGUGUAGCGGUGAAAUGCGUAGAGAUGUGGAGGAACACCAGUGGCGAAGGCGGCUUUCUGGUCUGUAACUGACGCUGAGGCGCGAAAGCGUGGGGAGCAAACAGGAUUAGAUACCCUGGUAGUCCACGCCGUAAACGAUGAGUGCUAAGUGUUAGGGGGUUUCCGCCCCUUACUGCUGCAGCUAACGCAUUAAGCACUCCGCCUGGGGAGUACGGCCGCAAAGGCUG